UGUGGAGCACUGAGCAGGAAGGUUAUAGAGGGUUUUCCGGGGGCUCCUUAAGUCCCAGCAGGACUCCAGAAUAUCUGGAGCAUGCACAGAGGAUGAGGAUGUGGUGAACAGCUAUGCUUUCUUCUCAAAGAAAGAAAACCCAGACUGAAGCUGGUGUUCUUGGAAUACCUCAAGCUAAACAGCUGGGAAAGCAGAUCAUAAGAAGAAUGCAGCUUCCCAAGAGCAUGCUGGGAAGUGAGCCAGCUUGGCUGACUGACACUUGUUGCCAUGCAUGCAAUUGAAUUUUCCCAGAAUGCCUCCAGACCUCUAGGAGAAUGCCAAUGGGAGCCUGAAGAGGGCCCAAUGAAGAAAGCAUGGGUUAGCACUCACCAGCAGGAGUGCUGUCUCCGACCUAGUGAGCCUACGCAGCUCUUCAGGGGUCAGCUGGCCAUAGCAGAAGGGAUGUGCUGCUCUCAAGGUCCACAGGAAGACUAGCAGGGAGGAUCCUGGUCAGCAGAUACUUGGGAUUCAGAAAUCCUAUCCCUGAGUGAAACAGGAUCUCUCUGCUUCUCUCUGCCCAUGGAGGAAGCUCCAGCGAGAAUAUCCAGCUCUGUUGGGUGGCACGGUGCAGAAUGCCUGGGCAGGGCACAGGGCACAGGGCACAGGGCACGGGUGAGCUAAGAAUCCAGGCCCAGUAGGUGAGAAGUGGAUACAAGACAGGUGGACAAAAAGAUAAUGGCACUGGAAGACUUGCCUGUGGUAUAUGCUGAAACCAGGACGAAGAAAUCAUGAAGGAUGAAGGCAAUUAUGGACACCAUGAAGAUGGAAAGAUCAUUUUCUUCUAACUGUGGGGCAAGUGUAACCGUGCCACCAGACAGAAGAACUGGUAAAAUCAAUAAAUCUCCUAUUUGAGAACGUGUCUCAGCGGUAUCCUGACACCCCAGCAGAGAGGCUAAAUGCAGACCCACAGAAGAAAACCACUAUAAAAUGAGGAUUAUGUCAUGCUACAUAUAAGAAAAUGCCAUUUCUGUUGAUGCCAGGUAAAAGUAAAAAUGUAAGAGAUAUGCUAACGGGAGACAAAAACUAAAAGGAGCUUCUCUAUAGAAACAGACAGACAGACAGAAAGACAGACACACAGAAACCCAAACACUACCGUUUGUAUAUUUUAUUUUUAAAGUGAUGCUUGUGCAUCAAGGCGACAAGGAGUGAACUUGCAGUUAAUAGCUUUUGUCAACCUGACAGGGUUUAGAAUCUCGUGAUGCACUGUGAUCUAUAUGAUAAAAUGAACCCCUUACCAGCAGAUGACACUUCUGGGCAUGUCUUAGGAGAGAAGACCUAUCCUGAAUGUGGAUAGAACUGUCCUCUAGGCUGGAGUCCCAGCUUGAAUAGAACAAACAAACACCAAGAACAGAACAUCAGCUCAUCACAACAUUCCUCUCUCUCUGCUCUCCGACUUUAUACAGUCACCUCCUAGUCCUGACAUAUUUCUUCUUAAACUUUGAUCCCAGAUAAAUAUUUUUUCUUUAAGUUGUUUCUGUUAGGAUUUUUUACACAAUAAGAGAAAUAACCAAUAUAGUGUGUAAAUCACCAUUGACUGUGUAUCUCCUUUUCCAAGCUUGCCACAUGCUUCCUUCUCUUUGUAUUGUGUCCCCUGUCUGGCCCCACCGAGGGUAUGUAAAGAUUUUCUACAGCUGACGUAGAAAGUUAUUGAAAACUUUGUAAUUUAAUAAGAGUUUUUCCUCUUAGUUUUAAAGAUUGAUUUAUUUUGCUUUUAUGUAUAUGAGGGUUUUGCCUAUAUGCAUGAAUUCACAUCAUAUCUGUGCCUAUUGGAUUCCUUUAAACUGGGGCUACUGAUGGCUGUGAGCCACUAUGUGGCUGCUGGGAACUAAACCUGGUCCUCUGUAAGAGCAACAAGUGCUCUUAGCCACUGAGUUAUCACCCCAAACUCCAGAUUUAUUCUUUUAUAUUUCUGUAGGUCAGAGAUCUGGAUCUUAGUGGGCUGAAGACAAGAUCAGUAAUGUAGUAUCAUGAAGUAAUGCGUGGUAGGUCUGCAUUACUUCUGGAGUCUCCAGGGCACCUUUUAUAGCUUCUAGAAGCUGUUUUAGUCAGCCUUCACCUUCAAAUCCAACAAUGGCGCCUCUCCCAAUCCCUAGGUUCUUCAGGAAUAGUCUUUAGGAAGACUGUUUUAAUUAUGUUGAACCUUUUGGAUAAUACAGAGCAGUCUCUCAAUUUCAUGAUGUUUGGAGCAAUCAUGCUGUCUAAAAUCCUCCUUUGUCAUGUAAAAUAAUGUAUUCCUGGGUAAUGUAUCCCAAUUCCUGGGGUUGGGAUGGGGCAUCUUUGUAUUUUCCUGUCUCCUGCAGGGUCCCACAGUGUGGACUCGACGUCUCCUUGCCAACAGAUGACAUGUAAGGGUGGUGCUAAGCAUCAUGGUAGGACAUACCCUUUACAGGGUGAAUCAGGUGAGGAGCCCUUGUAGGCCCUGAAAUUGGGUCCCAAGGCUCUGCAGAGUGGUACAGGGGUGAACAGUCCCUUACUCCAUAGGAGGGCCUGGGAUUGGGGAACAGAGCUGAGCCCUUGAAGGCAUGAGGCUCAGGGUAUGGUUCCUCUUGGAAGAGUCUGACAGUGGCUUGAUUCUUUAACAUAGGGUUACUAACCUGAGUUCAAGGGUCUCACUGAAGUUGCUGCAUGUGUGUUUUAAUUUUUCGUUUUGAACAGACAUUUUAAAGGACACAUUUUAUCAUUUUUUUUAAAAAAAGAUUUAUUUAUUUAUUUAUUUAUUUAUUUAUUUAUUUAUUUAUUAUCUAUAAGUACACUGUAGCUGUCUUCAGAGACACUGGAAGAGGGCAUCAGAUUCCAUUACGGAUGGUUGUGAGCCACCACGUGGUUGCUGGGAUUUGAACUCAGGACCUCUAGAAGGACAGUCAGUGCUCUCAACCACUGAGUCAUCUCUCCAGCCCCAUUUUACCAUUUUUAUCAGAUUGUGAAAAUAAUCCAGAAAAUGAAUAUCCGUGACUCUAACCUCUUUGUUUACUCUUACUGGGAAAAACGGACCCUUUCUGAGUCAUUUUCUGCUUUUUUCUCUUCACAGGACACAGGAUCCCAUUGCUUCAAGUGCAACCCCCUUCAAAUUGACUCUGACAACUCUGCUGUGAUGAAGAUCUGUGUGGUUAGCUGAGGUUCAAGGGGAAAGGGAGCAGCCUAGGGCUGUUGGAGGAGGUGUUAUUUUGAUUCCAAAGGCACUUUCUGGUGUAACCUCCCUUGUCAAGCAGAAUGCAGGACACAAAGAGAGAUUCAGGAACCAGACGAGAGUCUGUAAAUUUGGGCCUGGCCUUGUCCAUGCUGAUCCUGCUGCCUGAUAUGAGCCAGGGACAUAUAGGUGAUAAGCACCGUGCCCUCCUCUGAGGGGAGUACGGGGUGGGGCUGUGACAUCAAUUUCAUCUACUUUGCAUUUUAAAGAAACUAAGAUGAGUUUCUUUUUUCCCUUGAAUUUCCUUAAUAAGAGCAUUUUAGAGUUUUGGAAAACCUAGUCCUAGUUUAAAGGUAGAAAGACUUUCUGUACAGAAAGGGGAGAGGAAGAAAAUGAGGGAGGGAAGAGAGGAGAGGAAAGGAGUAGGGGAGGGGCAAGCAAGCAGAAGGGAGGAGGGAGUAGAAGGAAGGACAGGAGGGUGGAGGUAGAGAGAGGACAUUUCAGAGAUUAAAGAGCCCUCCUCUUCCACACUCUUUCCCAGUUGGCUGUCACCAGCAGGUCACCUGGCUGAAAUCAGCCACCUGAACUCAGAGAAGGGUGAAUAUUUUCAGACCUUUGAACUUGUCAUCAUGUGGAAGCUCCUCUGAUGGUGGCAUCUACUCUGGGGCAUGUGAAGUGAAACAAUAAACCAAAAGAGGGCACUGGUGGCUGCAGAAGCUCAGAUGGUAGCGUCCAGCCAGCCUGGGGAACAUGUGCCCAGCUGGAAAAUUGUGGUCCAUUGUUGGAAGAGUUUCAGAGAGCUCUCUCAGCUCUGUAUCUUCAACUCCUUCCUGGAAAGUGGGAAGACACAGCUGUCUGUGCAUCUGUCUUCAGACUUCCCUACCCAGGCUGAAAAGCUUGGUCUUCUUAUAGAGGAGCCAGGAGGUACCAAGGGAGAGAGCUGAGGACCAGCCUUAGCAUUUUUAUCUUUUGAGAUGGACCUUCAAUUUCUCCUUAUUAUCCUCCCCCAAAGUACCUGCUUCUGAGGAGGCAGAUUACCCUGUGGGAAACAGACAAUUACAAGGCAUCCACACUGUACAUUGGAUUUUCCAUGGUGCCUUCCUGCUUUGGUUGACUGGUGUGAAGGGCUAUUCAUAGCUAUCUACCCCUAGACAGCACUGGUUGGACACUUUUCUGUUUUGAUAGUUUGAAGCUUCAGGAAGGCCCCAGGUGUCUCCCAAGAGGGAUAGGGCCCCAUGAUGUCCCUCCUGUCACUGUUGUCUGUCUUGUUGUUAAUGCCCAGAGAACAGAUGGGGAACUGGGUCAGGAACAAUGAGAGGGAGGGAGACACUGAACAAAUUAAUCAGACAGGAACUAUGUGAGGCCACGACCCAUGCCCUGGUUAGGUCUGGGCCCUUCCUUGAAACCCACAUGGAGCAUACAUAGGGAGUCCAUCUAUUGUGUGAAAACUUCCUGAUAGUCACAAUCAUUCUUUGGUCGUGAAGAAGAGUGCUGUUCUGAAGAAGACCACACACCUGUAAGCCUCAGCUUAGACUGACGUAGGAGGUCAGAUCCAGCUAGUCAGUUCCAGUUUCAGGACACUUUUGGCUAUGUGACCUAUGUUCUUCCUCUGUUCCUCCAAAAGGACAAUGACAGAUAGGCCAUGUACUUGUUCCUUUUUUUCACAUGUGAGGUGCUAGGGUUAAAUUCCAGUCAUGAGCAAGAGUCCUUGAGCUGUGAAGUUUAUUUUCUAGUCAAGAAGAUAGGAACUGGCCAAAUAAUCUUACAAAUGGGUAACUGUAGGCUUUGAUGGAUAUAUUAAAGCCAUAGCUUAUCAGGAUGAGAAAAAAAAUUCACAAGGAAUAGGAGGCUUUGGUCCAGAGUAGGUAGUUCUUUGGUGGUGUUUGAGGAGGAUGGAUGUUUGAGAAGAAAAGCCAGGUUAGUGGAGAGGCCAGGGCUGGGGAAGGCAGAGAGGACCUUGUGGUUAGAAGAGUCUUAGUGGAGCUCAGGAAGUGCAGAGGAGGCCAGUAGAGUAGAGGGCAGAGAGAGGGAAGCACCAUGUGGAGCGAGCAGAACAGCAGGGGUGGGAAAGAGGAAGAAAGUACAGUGUGUGUGUGUGUGUGUGUGUGUGUGUGUGUGUGUGUGUGUGUGUGUGUGUAGAGGGAACACAUGGAGUUUUGUCUAAGAAAAACAGAAAGUCAUUCAAGGGUCUGAAGCAGGAGGGAGAACAUCUCAUGGGAUGGACCAUGGUGGCAGAGAGGGAAGGGUAGCAAGUGGGGACCAGGAAAGAGGCAAACGCAACAUCUCCCAUUGUUGUGGUGGCAGUGUAGAUAUAGGAGGAUGAGUGAAGUCGAGAAACACUGGCAGUCCAUGGGAUAGAAAAGACUGAAGGAAGGAUGGAUGCUUCCUAUUUCAGGAACCAUGCCGGUAGCUCAUGGUGCAAAGGUUUUGGAGGUGCUGAGUGUAUUUGAAAAUAUUUUCUAUUGUAACACAAAACCCAACAUCUGGAAGAAGAGUUAUCUCCAAGAUUAGCUAAUUUAAUGGCUCCAUAAUGAAACAAAAGGAACAAGUUCUUUCCUGCUUCCAAACUUCACUAAGAGACUUUGUUGUCAAAUUGUUUCCUCAUAGGCAAGAGAUGGCUGCUGAAGUUCCAGACAUCACAUACAGUCAUGAGUAUAUGGGUACCAUUUAAAGUAAUCAUUUUCAGUGCCCCAUUCAACUUCUCUUCACAGUUUCUUGGCCAAAACCAGUCCACAGUAUGAUUCAUGUAUUAUUAACUUGAAUGAAUUAGGAUUACUCCAUAGUCUCUCAUUAAGGGAUAGCCUCACCAAACCAGAUUCUCUUAGAUGGCAGGGGGAGUGGAGAUUUUGAAGGUCACUGAGGGUGUCUGCCAACUAGAAGUGGAGACAGGAGAAAUCUCUGAGCUGUUCUCAGAGAUGGCAGCCUUUCCAGGUUGGACCCCCCCAUCCCCAUCUCAGCCAUCAACUCAAGCCUUUUCUUCAACAGAAGUAAGGUUAAAGGGCCUUGGAGUAGCACAGUCUUUCUUAAAUUCCGUUGGCCAUGAGGUAAAUUGAGGUAGGGGGUUAAAAAUGCACAUUCCAGGUUUCCCAGAGCCCACCUGAAUAGGAGGGAGUCUUGGGAGGAGGAGGAGGAGGAAGAGGAAGAGGAGGAGGAGGAAGAGGAAGAGGAAGAGGAUGAGGAGGAUGAGGAGGGGUUAGGACUCUGCUUGACAGAUGAAAUCUACAGGCAAUUCAGAUGGAGUGGUAUCUUGGAAUCUCGCAGGCUCUGUGCUAUGGGGAGAGCCAUACCUAGAAGAGAGACUUAAUCUGUCCCAGCUCCCACAGAGGGUAGGUUAGUCUCAGUGGGGACCAGUAGGGAGCAAUCCAGUGCAUAUGCUCAGAGUCUUUCUUUGUGCUGAUGAGGAGAGAUCAUUAUUCCUGUGAAUCUAUCGGAACCAUAACACACCUCACUACGUUUAGUUCUUAAAUGACCCUGGCCUGAGGUUUAACUUUGCAAACGGAUGCACACAGAACCUUGGGCAGUGUGGACAGACAGAAUUCCACCUCUCUUGGCUCAGCCUGUGUAUCUUAGCAGCUCUAUGGGGUUCUGCAUUCCUCCCACUUUUUGAAGUUAACCAGACAGGUCCGGCUGGGGAUAGUUAAGGGGUUCUUGUCCAAAGAUACAAACUCCCUUGGUAGAAGAGCCAGUACCUGCAGGGCUGUUGCCUCCCUAGAGGCCAUUCCCUGGUGCACAUGGCUAGCCUGGCCAGCAGA
Molecule: non-coding RNA, 6918 nt
Organism: Rattus norvegicus (Norway rat)
Lineage: Eukaryota; Metazoa; Chordata; Mammalia; Rodentia; Muridae
Source: RefSeq, a predicted model, not a curated record